GUACUGUUGAAGAGUCCCACACUAGUGAAACGAAACAGCUGUCCAGUAC
Molecule: non-coding RNA, 49 nt
Filed under: Trichobilharzia regenti
Lineage: Eukaryota; Metazoa; Platyhelminthes; Trematoda; Strigeidida; Schistosomatidae
Source: RNAcentral